RNAcentral lists this ribosomal RNA (492 nucleotides) under uncultured bacterium. RNAcentral's name for it is "partial 16S ribosomal RNA". It matches the Rfam family "Bacterial small subunit ribosomal RNA", at positions 29 to 507 of the family's 1533-position model. The record is from RNAcentral.
AGUGAACGCUGGCGGUAGGCCUAACACAUGCAAGUCGAACGGCAGCACAGUAAGAGCUUGCUCUUACGGGUGGCGAGUGGCGGACGGGUGAGGAAUACAUCGGAAUCUACUUUUUCGUGGGGGAUAACGUAGGGAAACUUACGCUAAUACCGCAUACGACCUACGGGUGAAAGCAGGGGAUCUUCGGACCUUGCGCGAUUGAAUGAGCCGAUGUCGGAUUAGCUAGUUGGCGGGGUAAAGGCCCACCAAGGCGACGAUCCGUAGCUGGUCUGAGAGGAUGAUCAGCCGCACUGGAACUGAGACACGGUCCAGACUCCUACGGGAGGCAGCAGUGGGGAAUAUUGGACAAUGGGCGCAAGCCUGAUCCAGCCAUACCGCGUGGGUGAAGAAGGCCUUCGGGAUGUAAAGCCCUUUUGUUGGGAAAGAAAAGCAGCAGGUUAAUACCCCGCUGUUCUGACGGUACCCAAAGAAUAAGCACCGGCUAACUUCGUG